AACGAACGCUGGCGGCAUGCCUAACACAUGCAAGUCGAACGAGAUCUUCGGGUCUAGUGGCGCACGGGUGCGUAACGCGUGGGAAUCUACCCAUUGGUUCGGAAUAACAGUUGGAAACGACUGAUAAUACCGGAUGAUGACGAAAGUCCAAAGAUUUAUCGCCAGAGGAUGAGCCCGCGUAGGAUUAGCUAGUUGGUGUGGUAAAGGGGAACCAAGGCGACGAUCCUUAGCUGGUCUGAGAGGAUGAUCAGCCACACUGUGACUGAGACACGGUGCAGAAUACUACGGGAGGCAGGAGUGGGGAAUAUUGGACAAGGGGCGAAAGCCAGAUCCAGCAAUGCUGCUUGAGUGAUUAAGGCCUUAGAGUUGUAAAGCUCUUUAACCCGGGAUGAUAAUGACAGUACCGGGAGAAUAAGCCCCGGCUAACUCCGUGCCAGCCGCCGCCGUAA
RNAcentral lists this ribosomal RNA (449 nucleotides) under uncultured bacterium. RNAcentral describes it as "partial 16S ribosomal RNA". It matches the Rfam family "Bacterial small subunit ribosomal RNA", at positions 29 to 523 of the family's 1533-position model. The record is from RNAcentral.